CCUACGGGGGGCUGCAGUGAGGAAUAUUGGUCAAUGGACGCAAGUCUGAACCAGCCAUGCCGCGUGCGGGAAGACGGCUCUAUGUAUUGUAAUCUGUAUUUGUACGAGGGUAAAUCCCGAUACGUGUCUCAGGUUGAAAGUCUCGUUCGAAUCCGGAUCGGCUAACUCUGUGCCAGCAGCCGCGGUAAUACGGAGGAUUCAAGCGUUAUCCGGAUUUAUUGGGUUUAACGGGGUCGUAGGCGGUUCGAUAAGUUAGAGGUGAAGUCCCGGGGCUCAACUCCGGCACUGCCUCUGAUACUGUCGGGCUAGAGUUUAGUUGCGGUAGGCGGAAGGUAUGGUGGAGCGGUGAAAUGCAUAGAGAUCAGACAGAACACCGAUUGCGAAGGCAGCUUACCAAACUACGACUGACGUUGAGGCACGAAAGCGUGGGGAGCAAACAGGAUUAGAUACCCGAGUAGUC
This 460-nucleotide ribosomal RNA is filed under the name uncultured bacterium. RNAcentral's name for it is "partial 16S ribosomal RNA". It matches the Rfam family "Bacterial small subunit ribosomal RNA", at positions 338 to 795 of the family's 1533-position model. The record is from RNAcentral.